Molecule: ribosomal RNA, 497 nt
Filed under: uncultured bacterium
Lineage: Bacteria
Description: partial 16S ribosomal RNA
Rfam family: Bacterial small subunit ribosomal RNA
Source: RNAcentral
GAUGAACGCUGGCGGCGUGCCUAAUACAUGCAAGUCGAGCGAACGGACGAGAAGCUUGCUUUUCUGAUGUUAGCGGCGGACGGGUGAGUAACACGUGGAUAACCUACCUAUAAGACUGGGAUAACUUCGGGAAACCGGAGCUAACACCGGAUAAUAUUUUGAACCGCAUGGUUCAAAAGUGAAAGACGGUCUUGCUGUCACUUAUAGAUGGAUCCGCGCUGCAUUAGCUAGUUGGUAAGGUAACGGCUUACCAGGGCAACGAUGCAUAGCCGACCUGAGAGGGUGAUCGGCCACACUGGAACUGAGACACGGUCCAGACUCCUACGGGAGGCAGCAGCAGGGAAUCUUCCGCAAUGGGCGAAAGCCUGACGGAGCAACGCCGCGUGAGUGAUGAAGGUCUUCGGAUCGUAAAACUCUGUUAUUAGGGAAGAACAUAUGUGUAAGUAAUUGUGCACAUCUUGACGGUACCUAAUCAGAAAGCCACGGCUAACUACGUG